Molecule: ribosomal RNA, 253 nt
Filed under: uncultured bacterium
Lineage: Bacteria
Description: partial 16S ribosomal RNA
Rfam family: Bacterial small subunit ribosomal RNA
Source: RNAcentral
UACGUAGGGUGCGAGCGUUAAUCGGAAUUACUGGGCGUAAAGCGUGCGCAGGCGGCUCCGCAAGUCAGACGCGAAAUCCCCGGGCUUAACCUGGGAAUGGCGUUUGAAACUACGGGGCUAGAGUGUGGCAGAGGGGGGUAGAAUUCCACGUGUAGCGGUGAAAUGCGUAGAUAUGUGGAGGAAUACCGAUGGCGAAGGCAGCCCCCUGGGCCAACACUGACGCUCAUGCACGAAAGCGUGGGGAGCAAACAGG